Molecule: ribosomal RNA, 27 nt
Filed under: Husnotiella hedysariformis
Lineage: Eukaryota; Viridiplantae; Streptophyta; Bryopsida; Pottiales; Pottiaceae
Also listed under: 7 other names
Description: Didymodon hedysariformis partial 26S ribosomal RNA
Source: RNAcentral
CAGACCUCUGAUCAGGAAAGACUACCC